AAUGGAGUCAAUUGCUUGAUAGGUGAGAUGCUAUUGAUUUCUUCCCUGGCCUUCUCGUUUUUUGAAGGACAAUGAUAAGUAAUGUGGAAACAUGCUCAAUGGACUCUGUGAUGCAUUGGAGACCUUAUGGAUCGCUCACAUUUGAAGACAGGAUUGUGCAAAUCUGUACUGAUCACAACUAAUUUGGGUAUUGAUUUGGGUCCUAGGCAACCAGGCGCACCGUACAAAGCCUGAAAUAGAUGACCUCUUAAGAGCAUUACCCAACCAAGCAGGGCAAUAAUGCUCCUAUCUUUUCCAUUCUACUGGGACAGUUUAGAUAUUGACAAUUCUAAUAGAACGGCUUUUCAUUUCAGCGUAGUCCGUGAGGUUCUGAAGAAAAGGAGCAUUUCAUCUUAACCAGGGAGUGGAUGGUAAAUUGAAGUGAUGUGAAUUGAUGAAGGCCAGGAUUAGUAAGCUAUUUAUGAUGAGUUUUACAUGUUUUAUGUACUGUAUUUUAUGUGAACUUACUGGACGUAAAGUAUAUGACUCAUGAUGUGGUGCACUAUUUUAUUAAAACUGGCUACUGGAUAUAUAAAAAGUAUAAAAAAAUGUAUAAUAUGAACCAUGUUCUGUCAAUAGUAGCUCUCUCUUGCUAUCUCACAUUUAAGUUACAUUUGUCAGUGUGGCAAACUUUCUUAUCUAACUAUUUUACAACCUGUGUUAUUCGAUGGCCUAAAUAACCCGACCAGUUCAACAAGAGUGAUUUCUUUUUUUACAAUGGGUCACUCCUCGAUGGGUAAACCCUGACUAAAUUAAAUAUUAAUUACUGUAAGUACCACCAUCGGCACAACAAUUCCAUUAUUAUAACGUCAGAACUCCCUUGGGCUUUUUUUCCCUUUUCUUUUCCCCUCUAAAAAAGGUAUUAAUGUUUAAUGUGGUCAUGAAUAAAUAUUUUGUAUCAAGGGAUUGGAUUUUUGCAUUCCCCUCUCCACUCCCGCUGUUGAAGUACCAUUAAUUAAAGUACAAUCUCGAUGCCUAUUUUUCCUCAGACUCGAAACAUGCAUAAUGGCGCCGCACAUAAUAAUUAAUAAAAUGAUGUGUAAUAUCUUGAUUUGUCCGUAGGGGGGUGAGAGCAAGGAGAUAAAUUAUUAAUCAGCCCUUCGGGUCACUGUUUUACCAAUAUGGGCCAGAGUCCAACGAGCUUAAGGUGAGUGAGUGGCACAUUUAGAAUAUUUUGUUGCCUAGGAAAGCUGCAGUAAAAAAUGUAGAAAAAAAAGAACUCUUCAGAGAAAAGAUUAUCCCUUUUAAAGUGCAAAUGGCUACAAUAACUCGGUGUGUUUGAAGAAGGUGCAUAAAGAUGUCGGAAUACAGAUAUGACAUCAAUGUUUUAGCACUAGUUUUUAAACUACGGUGCGCAACAUGGUUCAAUGCGUCAAUAAAUUAGCACAAUCGACUUUUUCGGUUCGCUGGUAUCUUGGAGCUAGAAUUGGGAUCAUGUGUAUACUGUGAUAAUGCUGGAACAAAAAUUGAAAUUUUUUCUUAACGUUUAAAACUGUACAUUUUUAUCGGUUUUCCGUUAAAACGAUAAGAAAAAGGAAUAAAAUUCCACAUGAAUUCACAAUGCAGAUGGUCUACAUCACGCUUCCCGUUGAGAGAGAAAAUUCAGUUUCAAGUUUUAAUGCCACAUGCACAAGUACAGUGACAUGCCUUUCUUGCAAGCUCCAAACCCAACAAAGCAGUAAUCAAUAUCAAUGAAGUGCACAAAACAUUAAGGACACCUGCUAUUUCCAUGACAUAGACUGACCAGGUGAAUCUAGGCAAAAGCUAUGAUCCCUUAUUGAUGGCACUUGUUAAAUCCACUUCAAUCAGUGUAGAUGAAGGGGAGGAGACAGGUUAACCCAUCAGAGUCUAAACCCUGUCUAAGCCAGGGGGGAGAUAAAUUAUUUUUGGUCUUACUGCUAUUAGCCCAUACAAAUGCAUUGAAUAACAUAUUCACCACAUGGAUAGUCCCCCAAAAAGUAUCAAAAUGAUUUUUUUUGUUGUUGAGAGAUAUAAGAAAUAUCAGGAAACCAUUUUUUUUUUUUACAUGUAUUUAACCCCGUGUUGUUGACAUUAAACAGUCUCCAUUUAUACUUCCAUGCAUUUUUUAAACUGGCACCAAGUGACCUUUAGACGAGUCUUGUGAGGCCUGUGGGCAUGCUAGAGUAAUGCAAAACCUACAUGUUCGUGAGAGUCUUAUCUUUCCAUAGAGGGGUCAUAAUAGUUUUGUAGACCAAACCGUUCGGACGCUACAGACGAUUUCAUGAGAAGACCAAUUUCCGGGAUGUCUAAUGGUCUGACAAAUACCGCUCUGUUACCUUUCACUGCAGAUACAGAAAAAAACGGUGCAAAAAAACUGUUCUCUAUCUUAAACUGGAAUAUGUUCCGUGAUUCAUCCGAUGGCAUUGAGGAGUAUACCACCUCAGUCACCGGCUUCAUCAAUAAGUGCAUCGACGACGUCGUCCCCACAGUGACCGUACGUACAUAUCCCAACCAAAAGCCAUGGAUUACAGGCAACAUCCUCAUCAAGCUAAAGGCUAGAGCUGCCGCUUUCAAGGAGUGGGAAACUAAUCCGGACGCUUAUAAGAAAUCACGCUAUACCCUCAGACAAAACAUCAAACAGGCAAGGCAUGGACUAUACAAGGUGUCAAAAGCAUUCCACAGGGAUGCUGGUCCAUGUUGACUCCAAUGCAUCCCACAGUUGUGUCAAGUUGGCUGCAUGUCCUUUGGGUGGUGGACCAUUCUUGAUACACAUGGGAAACUGUAGAGCAUGAAAAACCCAGCAGUGUUGCAGUGUUUGACACACACCGGUGUGCCUGGCACCCAAUACCACCCGUUCAAAGGCAUUUCAUAUUUUGUCUUGCACAUUCACAUUCUGAAUGGCACACAUACACAAUCAAUGUCUCAGUUGUCUUAAAAUUCCUUCUUUAAUAAGGUCGAUGUCACGUUCUUGAAAAUGAGCGGACCAAGGCGCAGCGUGAGUAUAGUUCCACAUAUGUUUAAUCUCCGCAAAACAAACAAAACAAUAACAAAACGUGAAGUCAUGACGUGCACACAGGCAACUAAACACAAACAAUAUCCCACAAAACACAGGUGGGGAAAUGGAUACCUAAAUAUGAUCCCCAAUCAGAGGCAACGAUAAACAGCUGCCUCUAAUUGGGAACCAUAUUAGCACCAACAUAGAAAUAAACAUACUAGAACACCCCCUAGUCACGCCCUGACCUACUACACCAAAGAGAACCAAGGGCUCUCUAUGGUCAGGGCGUGACAGUCGAUGUCCGAGGCCCCGGGUAAAAGUAAUUAGCAUAAUACAAAAAAAGACCCAUAAAAAUCUGUCCGUUUUAACAUUUACAUUUUACAUUUACGUCAUUUAGCAGACGCUCUUAUCCAGAGCGACUUACAAAUUGGUGCAUUCACCUUAUGGUCAGAUUUGCAUGUCUCUAUGUGUGGUCUAAAGUUUUCUUUUCUCUGGUUGCAAAUGUGACAUGCUGGUAGAAAUUAGGUAAAACGGAUUUAAAUUUACCUGCAUUAAAGUCCCUGGCCGCUUCUGGAUGAGCAUUUUCUUGUUUGCUAAUGGCCCUAUACAGCUGGUUGAGUGCGGUCUUAGUGCCAACAUCGGUUUGUGUUGGUAAAUAGAUGGCUACGAAAAAUAUAGAUGAAAGCUCUCUUGGUAGAUAGUGAGGUCUACACCUUAUCAUGAGGUACUCUACCUCAGGCGAGCAAUACCUCGAAACUUCCUUAAUAUUAGACAUCGUGCACCACCUGUUAUUGACAAAUAGACACACACCACCACCACCUCUUAUCUUACCGGACGUAGCUGUUCUGUCCUGCCGAUGCACAGAAAACCUAGACAAUUGUAUAUUAUCUACAUCGUCGUUCAGCCACGACUCAGAGAAAAAUAAGACAUUACAGUUUUUAUUGUCCUGUUGGUAGGAUAGUCUCGAACGGAGCUCAUCCUAGUUUAUUCUCCAGUGAUUGCACGAAUUCUCACAAUGCAACCCGAUCUCCCCCCUGUGUACUUCCGUCUUUUCUUCAAGCGAAUGACGGGGAUUUGGGCCUGGUCUGGAGAAACAGUAUAUCCUUUGUGUCUGACUCAAUAAAGAACAAAUCUUUGUCCAGUUCGAGGUGAGUAAUCGCUGUUCUGAUAUCCAGAAGCUGUUUGCGGUCAUAAAAGACCAACAUUAUGUAAAAAAUAAGUUAGAAACAAUGCAAAAAAAACACACAAAAUAGCAGACGGUUAGGAGCCCGUAAAAUGGCAGCCAUCCCCUCCGGUGCCAUUCAAUCCCCUCUGGUAGCUAAUCAAUGGAAGUUAAACGUCAAGGACAGGCUACAACACUAAGAGCCAGCAGGUAGGCUGUUACUUAACAAUCUGAACGGAGUUGUUGUUAUUUACUGCAGGAUUCAGAAGGGGAGAAAGUUAUGUAGUAUCAAUUAGCCUAGCUAACGUUUGCUGGCAGGCUAGAUAGCUUAACAAGCUUCUCUCAGUUUGAUGCAGUCAAGACAGAUACUAUGUAAUCAGAUAAGAUGAUAAAUAACUAGCAAUAAGUUUGUCUACCAGCUCAAGUCGACUUGGUUGCUAUCUCUCUCCCCCUCACUGCUCCCCUCGUUACUCACAUUUGAGCUGCUGCUCUGCUUUGAAACUCUUUCAUUACAGCUCCGGUUAAUAAAGUACCAAAACAAAGGCUUUUUUUUCUCCUACUAAUGUUACAGCAUCCCUUUAUGAUAAUGAUCGGGACCUGUUAGUGGUAGUUUAGGUAUUUAUUUUCUUAACGUUAAAGAGCGACUGCCCCUAAAAACCAACUAAUCAACUAAACCAACUACUCCCCUUGAAAAACGAUAUGAGCCAGAAACCUUUAUUCUAGUGCAAAAAGGAACAUUUUAAAGUUUUUACGCUACAUCGGUCUGCUAAUUAUUUCUUAAUAUAUUUUUUUAUUCUGAUUUUUCAGGGGGUACUGCAGCACCCUCAGCACCCCUACUUCCCACGGCUAUGAUUGGUUGGUCCCCAGUGGUGACAAAGUGAACGGUUGGGUGCCAGACUGAUCCCCUAUUUAUGAACGGAUGCCGGGGACCUACCAGAAGGAACAAAUAGUCUCCCUCGACUGAAAAGGACACGCCAUCAUGAAACUUCUGAUAAGUGACCCUAGUUACUGCCCUGAUGAGACAGACGGCUUCAUCAACGAUGAAAAGUAAUUUGUGUUAUGUGAAAAGCUGUAUUCAAAAAUACCUGGCUUGAAAACUAGUAAACUUAUUCCCCAGCCAAGCAGAUACAAAUAGUAAUUUUGGUUGUGAAGUUCAUUAUCAAAAAGUUUUGUCCUUUCUUUAGAACAAAAUGUAAUUUACCACUUUAUUUUACCAAUUUACCACUGUGCAUUAUAUCACCCUGCCACAAGCCGUUCCAGUCAACACCACCUCUUAAGAUUGCCUGCUACAGUUCAAAAGAUAUCCUGUUUGCAGCUGAAUAUGCAGCAUAGAGAAGACCAGCAAGGUGGCCCUCAUCAGCAUCAUGCAGACAUGCCCUCUCUGUGAGCAUUCCUAUGAAUGGAACAGUCAGUAUCCGGCCAGAAAGCUUCACCUGUCAGCGUGUUCACCAUAUAAUGUCCAGGCUAUAACCUAGCCUGGUGGAACCAGCCUGAUCACUGUGUUCCCAUAUACAGUUGAAGUCGGAAGUUUACCUUAGCCACAUACAUUUAAACUCAGUUUUUCACAAUUCCUGACAUUUAAUCCUAGUAAAAAUUCCCUGUCUUUGGUCAGUUAGGAUCACCACUUUAUUUUAAGAAUGUGAAAUGUCAGAAUAAUAGUAGAGAGAAUGAUUUAUUAGCUUUAAUUUUUUCAUCACAUUCCUAGGGGUCAGAAGUUUACAUACACUCAAUUAGUAUUUGGUAGCAUUACCUAAAUUGUUUAACUUGGGUCAAACGUUUCGGGUAGCCUUCCACAAGUUUCCCACAAUAAGUUGGGUGAAUUUUGGCCCAUUCCUCCUGACAGAGCUGGUGUAACUGAGUCAGGUUUGUAGGCCUCCUUGCUCAAAAAUGCUUUUUCAGUUCUG
RNAcentral lists this long non-coding RNA (6061 nucleotides) under Salmo salar (Atlantic salmon). Its description in RNAcentral is "lncRNA (ENSSSAG00000091666.1)". The record is from RNAcentral. Lineage: Eukaryota; Metazoa; Chordata; Actinopteri; Salmoniformes; Salmonidae.